RNAcentral lists this long non-coding RNA (229 nucleotides) under Capsella rubella. RNAcentral's name for it is "long non-coding RNA (CRUB_LNC001481)". Lineage: Eukaryota; Viridiplantae; Streptophyta; Magnoliopsida; Brassicales; Brassicaceae. The record is from RNAcentral.
CCAAACAUAUACGUCCCCAAGAGACACGAUCACGGAUGUUUCGCCUUUAUAAACUUUUUGCAAAUGGAUAUUUUAUGCACAAUUUUUUUUUCUUUUUAACUCUUGAUUGUAUUCUAUAGUUACGUAUACACUAACCUUCGGUCGUUGAUAUAGUUUUACAAGUUACCUAUUUUUUUUUCCAAGAUUUUUCUCAUCUACCAAAUUAUAUACUUCCUCAACAAGAAACUGA